This 21-nucleotide microRNA is filed under the name Aegilops tauschii. RNAcentral describes it as "ata-miR5181-3p". Lineage: Eukaryota; Viridiplantae; Streptophyta; Magnoliopsida; Poales; Poaceae. The record is from miRBase by way of RNAcentral.
CACUUAUUUUGGACCGGAGGG